UGCACCUCUGGCGUCCAGCGGCGGACGGGUGAGUAAUGCUUGGGAAUAUGCCUUAUGGUGGGGGACAACAGUUGGAAACGACUGCUAAUACCGCAUGAUGUCUACGGACCAAAGUGGGGGACCUUCGGGCCUCACGCCAUAAGAUUAGCCCAAGUGGGAUUAGCUAGUUGGUGAGGUAAUGGCUCACCAAGGCGACGAUCCCUAGCUGGUUUGAGAGGAUGAUCAGCCACACUGGGACUGAGACACGGCCCAGACUCCUACGGGAGGCAGCAGUGGGGAAUAUUGCACAAUGGGCGCAAGCCUGAUGCAGCCAUGCCGCGUGUGUGAAGAAGGCCUUCGGGUUGUAAAGCACUUUCAGUAAGGAGGAAAGGUUAAGUGUUAAUAGCACUUA
This 391-nucleotide ribosomal RNA is filed under the name Pseudoalteromonas mariniglutinosa. Its description in RNAcentral is "bacterial SSU rRNA". It matches the Rfam family "Bacterial small subunit ribosomal RNA", at positions 78 to 481 of the family's 1533-position model. The record is from RNAcentral. Lineage: Bacteria; Pseudomonadati; Pseudomonadota; Gammaproteobacteria; Alteromonadales; Pseudoalteromonadaceae.